This 433-nucleotide ribosomal RNA is filed under the name uncultured bacterium. RNAcentral's name for it is "partial 16S ribosomal RNA". It matches the Rfam family "Bacterial small subunit ribosomal RNA", at positions 29 to 507 of the family's 1533-position model. The record is from RNAcentral.
AACGAACGCUGGCGGCAUGCCUAACACAUGCCAGUCGAACGAGACCUUCGGGUCUAGUGGCGCACGGGUGCGUAACGCGUGGGAACCUGCCCUUAGGUUCGGAAUAACCCCCCGAAAGGGGUGCUAAUACCGGAUAAUGUCUUCGGACCAAAGAUUUAUCGCCUUUGGAUGGGCCCGCGUUGGAUUAGCUAGUUGGUAGGGUAAAAGCCUACCAAGGCGACGAUCCAUAGCUGGUCUGAGAGGAUGAUCAGCCACACUGGGACUGAGACACGGCCCAGACUCCUGCGGGAGGCAGCGGUGGGGAAUAGUGAACAAUGGGCGAAAGCCUGAUCCAGCAAUGCCGCGUGAGUGAUGAAGGCCUUAGGGUUGUAAAGCUCUUUUACCCGGGAUGAUAAUGACAGUACCGGGAGAAUAAGCUCCGGCUAACUCCGUG